Molecule: ribosomal RNA, 162 nt
Filed under: Ceriops decandra
Lineage: Eukaryota; Viridiplantae; Streptophyta; Magnoliopsida; Malpighiales; Rhizophoraceae
Also listed under: 1 other name
Description: 5.8S ribosomal RNA
Rfam family: 5.8S ribosomal RNA
About the family: 5.8S ribosomal RNA (5.8S rRNA) is a component of the large subunit of the eukaryotic ribosome. It is transcribed by RNA polymerase I as part of the 45S precursor that also contains 18S and 28S rRNA. Functionally, it is thought that 5.8S rRNA may be involved in ribosome translocation.
Source: RNAcentral
AACGACUCUCGGCAACGGAUAUCUCGGCUCUCGCAUCGAUGAAGAACGUAGCGAAAUGCGAUACUUGGUGUGAAUUGCAGAAUCCCGCGAACCAUCGAGUCUUUGAACGCAAGUUGCGCCCGAAGCCUUCUGGCCAAGGGCACGUCUGCCUGGGUGUCACUC